UCUAAGGGCUGUGAAGCGAGACCGGAAGGACUCGUGGAGCGCUUAGAAGUGAGAAUGCCGGUAUGAGUAGCGAAAGAGGGGUGAGAAUCCCCUCCACCGAAUGCCUAAGGUUUCCUGAGGAAGGCUCGUCCGCUCAGGGUUAGUCGGGACCUAAGCCGAGGCCGAAAGGCGUAGGCGAUGGACAACAGGUUGAUAUUCCUGUACCACCUCCUCACCAUUUGAGCAAUGGGGGGACGCAGGAGGAUAGGGUAAGCGCGGUAUUGGAUAUCCGCGUCCAAGCAGUUAGGCUGGGAAAUAGGCAAAUCCGUUUCCCGUAAGGCUGAGCUGUGAUGGCGAGCGAAAUAUAGUAGCGAAGUUCCUGAUUCCACACUGCCAAGAAAAGCCUCUAGCGAGGUGAGAGGUGCCCGUACCGCAAACCGACACAGGUAGGCGAGGAGAGAA
The sequence is a ribosomal RNA, 441 nucleotides long. It matches the Rfam family "Bacterial large subunit ribosomal RNA", at positions 1240 to 1678 of the family's 2925-position model.